GUUUAGAGAAGGUGGAAAAGUCGAGAAUGAAGUCAAACUAAAUCAUCGGACAGCAUUAUUUCAAUUUGAACACCACCAAUUCAUCGAAACAAAGGCCCCUUGUGGAGGCAGUCGUAUUGUAACGUAUUCUGAGAAGAGGGACGUGAACUGAUGCAGUCCCUGUCACAUGCUGUAUCAUUACAGACUCACUCAGUAAAUGUUGUGGUGUGUCCUGAGUCCGCUACAUAUUUGGUGCCGUGACCCGAAUGAAAAGAUCAGCUGCAGCAUCAACAGGGACCCUUUCUACGCUUCCUCGACAUCACCAAGACGUCUUAAGCCUGAAGACUGGAUCACUGAUGUGAUCUGGCAGUUGAGAAAAUCAAAAGUGCAGUUAGUCAGACUGCUCUUCUUGCCCACCCAGACUUUAAGAGACAAUUUGUCCUCUUUAUCGAUGCUUCAAUGGAUGGAUGUCCUUUGCCAAAUACAUUAAGGUGUAUAAGGAGACAGAGACCUGUAGCCUAAGCAAAUAAAAUUGUCCAAGUCA
Scophthalmus maximus (turbot) is the source of this 523-nucleotide long non-coding RNA. RefSeq lists it as uncharacterized. The record is from RefSeq and is a predicted model, not a curated record. Lineage: Eukaryota; Metazoa; Chordata; Actinopteri; Pleuronectiformes; Scophthalmidae. The transcript has 3 exons.